UUUCAAGUCUCCGCUUUUGGUGAAAACUCAGGGCUCCUCAAAGAGGACGCACUGUAUGUUUUCCUUCUUUUCUUUUCAUGUAACCGAAACACUUCCUCGGUGUUAAUGAAUCCCUCUGUGCUGUCAAACCCUUGCGAUGUCUAGCACCCUGACCAUUACCACUACCACUCAUGCCAUCCCUCCAGUGCAGGCAUUGUUAUCUAGGCAUUACAAAUAAGGAGAGUGAUAGCCCCUUUAGGUAGCAUCCCCAGUGUCACUCAGCAUGGCAAUGGUAAGGCUAGACAACAGACCCAGGUAAUAGGCUUCCAAAGCCUUUCUCCUGCUCCAUUAGCUGCUUCCCACCAAGACUGACAUAAAGUACAGAAUAUCCUGUUCCUCUCAUUAUCUGUAAAAUCUGGGGUUUUAUUAUUCUGAGGUUGGCCUCAAUUCAAAGGAACUGAAAUCAGUCUUGUCAGAGUCAGUGAUCUCAACUGGAAGAGGCCAGAGGGAUUGCUCAUAAUGAAGACGUUUUCCUCAAAGGUCUAUGCCAUAUUGGUCCAGUGGUCGCAAUUCUCACUGUGGCCUUUGAUGACCCGCCCUUGAUUCAAGGCAUUUUCAGUAGUUCCGUACACACAGCCACUGUCUAUAAUGCCCAUGGCAUGACAGUUGCAGUUUCUAUGCUAAAUACCUAUGUUUUCCCUGAAUGAAACUCAGCAAGAAAGAAAGGGAGGCUUUUAUUUAUAUUCUUUGCACAGCAGGUCUAUAUAUACACAUCAUAAUAUGCAGGCACCUCAUCUUCACAAUCUGUGAUUUCAAAUUCUUUUUUUUAAUUAUUUUUCUUCUGUAUAGCAUGGGGACCAAGUUACGCUUACAUGUAUACAUUUUUUCCCACCCUUUGUUCUGUUGCAACAUAGGUAUCUAGACAUAGUUCUCAAUGCUACUCAACAGGAUCUCCUUGUAAAUCCAUUCCAAGUUGUAUCUGAUAACCCCAAGCUCCCAAUCCCUCCCACUCCCUCCCUGUCCCCCUGGGGAGCCACAAGUCUAUUCUCCAAGUCCAUGAUUUUCUUUUUUGUGGGAAUGUUCUUUUGUGCUGUAUAUUAGAUUCCAGUUAUAGGUGCUAUCAUAUGGUAUUUGUCUUUGUCUUUCUGACUUAUUUCACUCAGUAUGAGAGUCUCUAAUUCCGUCCAUGUUGCUGUAAAUGGCAUUAUGUCAUUCUUUUUUUUUUUUUAAUUGGGUCCAUGUCUUCUUGAGCAUGGCUUCAAAGGAGAAUAUAAUGUUAAUAGGCCAAGUGGUUAAUUCUCUCAUUCACUCUUAAAAUCAUUCUAUAUAUGUGUGCUGAGCUCUAAUAGUGUGUCAGGAACUAUAUCCAGCCUAGGACACAGCACAAAGGCAAUUGUCUCUGGGCCUCCUUGUCCUCUAACUGGUAAAUUAUGAGGCAUUUCAUAAGAAUUUUCCACUAUUUGUCAAGACACCAGAGUUUACUGAUGACUUUCCUACUUUAAAAGGUAAAGUUAAUUGAAGGUUUUCCUUUUAAUAGUGUAAUUUUCACACCCAUGAUUCUAAUACACUGCCUUUAAUGUUGAAGCAAUUGUGUUAUCUGAGAUGGGAAAAGAAAUAGCUUGCAAUAUCAAAUACUCCCUUGAAAGUAUGUUACAUAAAUGAACUUUGUGGUUAAAACAGAAAAAUAUUAAAGUUGAAAACACUGGCAUUGGGAACAAACAUGUAUAUGGAUAACAAUGCAACCACAGCUAUCUGUUCUACAAAGCACUAUGGGAGCACAAAGUAGAUUGGGCAAAGUUUACUAUAGAAGGUAGAAUUAGAAGCAAUUCAUGAAAAAGGAAUCAGAAUGGCAAACCCUGCCAGUUCAGUAGACUACAGAGAAAUGGACUGGUGCUAUGGGUAUAAGCAAUGGUUUUGUCUGAAUGGAACACAAAGUUUGUGAGUAAAGCACUGGAAUAAGCUAAGUUGGGAGAGGCAUCUGAGGGCAUUAAAAACAUAUUAAGCAUAUUUGGAUGGUGUAGUGUAGCCACUGGCAAGCCCACAAACAACCAUAGAAAAGCUCAAGAUAUUUCCAAAAUACUUGUUUUUCAAUCUGAUUAUAAGCUAGGUCAUCUGGGGCAGAACUAUCUGUGUUCUCUGACAGUCAGCUCUCAAGUCUGGGCAAUGUAAGUCCCAGACCUUAGAGUGGCCCUGCUUCUGGGGACAGGUGCAUCUAACUCAUCACCAUGUUCAUCAUUUACUGCCUGAAGUAUAGAUUCCAGGGCCUUCAAUCCUCCACAACACCAUCAACUCAAACCAUUCUAAAUGUUUUGCCCUACCAAAGCCUUUGAUGCUUUCUCCAACUCUCAUGUACUCUUCCAUGGCCUUGAGCUUUAGCUCCUUCAUUAGAAAAUUCUCAUAGCUUCUUAAUUCCUUCCCUGAGUGUAUUUGCAUUGAGUGAAAUAGGGCUUUUACUCUGUUGCCUUCCAAAGCUGCUCAUCUUACAUAUCUUAGAGGAAGCCUGGAUAUUUCGUCAUGGCCCAGGUUUCUAAAGGACAUGGGAGAAGGUGCUAGAUUUUUCAUCAGUUUGGAUUUAGCCCAGGUGAGAAAAUCAGGGAAGCCAGUGGGGAAUAAUCUGUUUAGGAAGGCCUGUGCAGACAGAGAGGCUCUAGAAAUUAAGAAAUGAGAUAUCCUAUAAUAGUAAUAAUAGAAAAUAGACAUGAACUCUGGUCACUAGUCACUUAUGCUUUUCUUUCCCAGGAUCCCAAGACUUCUACAUAAAGUUAAUACUUAAGAAGGUUUGUACUGAGGGACAAAGAGCAGCAUAAACUAUUAACUAUAAUACACUAUCAAAUCUGCUAAAUGAAGUAUAAAUAGAAGUUACAUGAACACGGGAAAAAAAAUACUUGCAAAACCCAUGGUUUGCUUCCAAAGCAGUUCGGUUUGCACAGUGAGCCCUCAUAGUAUUGGAUUUUGCAUAGUAGCUAUAUGGAACUCCCGCCCGUUCCCCAGUGUGUCAACAUUUGUGUUAUAUUUUUCUAUUUUGUCUGAAAUGUCCUAACCCAUCCAAUAUUUUUACUUACUUGGCUAGCCCCUACUCACUUUGUAGAUUGCAGUUAAGAUGUUACCUCUUCCUGACAGUCUGACAUGAUUCACCAAGUGGAGAUUAGGUGCCUCUCCUAUGCGGUCACAUACAAUUUGUACUUACCCCCAUUUUAAUACAUAUCAUGCUAUAUAUCAUCAUUACCAACACCUGGAAUAGCAUGUGGCAUCAUCAGUGCUCAUAAAUAUUUGUUGAAUGACUCAGUUGAACAAACAAAUGAUUGAAUGGAUGAAUGGGUAAAUCAGUAAAUUGAUGGGAAUAUAAGUAUUUGUUUCUGACUUUGGAGUGUGAGUCAUACCGUAGAGAAAGUUGUUGUGUGUGAAGGGAAUGAAAUCAGGAGAACUCAGUCUCUGAUCAAGAGAAAUAUAUUAAAACCAUGCUCUUCUUGCAUUCAUUCACAUAUUUAUUAAAUGCCUAGUUGUUAUGUCAAAAGUGAUCCAAUAGUUUUUAAGAUACAUUCAAACAUUUAUUGGAUACCUAUGACAAAAUAUCCUUGUUUCUUUGAUCCAAUAAUGUAAUUGUUUUUCAUAUAUUUUAGAAGCUAACAAUGAUCUAAACCCUUAAACAAAACUACUGGCUGUAGACAUAGGACAUAUAUUUAAAAGCUUUAAAAUUAUUUUUUUCCUUUUCUUUCAAAAGAAUUUUAAAACAAGGAGAUAAUUGUCAAACUAGGUUUACUUUAUGUGACCCUGUAUAUGCACAUACAAAAUAAGUGAUUACACAUGAAUAGGGAAAUUAGCCACUGUGCUGGCUAGCGUGUGUUUGGUAGGGUGAUGAUCAGCUUUCAGAUCAGUCACAGGAUUAAGGUAAAGCUCUGCCAAUACACAGGCUGUUCUGUAAGCUCCAUCAUACACUGAGAACUACAAGAUUUGAAACAUUCCGUUUUAGUCAAGAAAUUCAGCAUCUUGAUGGGACCACCAAUGUUACAUUGCGAAGGUAUGCAGACCCAAGGAAGAAUUGGUGCUUUUUAUAAGGUAAUCUACCACACCAUCAAAGUCAAGUUUCUGAGAAUGUGUUAACUUCUGGAGAGAAGACAAGGCUAGAGAGUAAAUGUCAAUUGAUGUAGAAAAGAAUCUUUCCAAAGGUUGAGCCCUGAUGCUGUCCAAAAAUUAAAAAAUCAAUGAGAUAAGAAAAAAAUAAUUAGAUGAAUUAGAUAACUAAUUAGACGCUUCUAUCAAUGAGGUAGGAGACCAAGAGAAAGUUGUGUCCAAGAAGUUAAAUUUGCAUGAAAUACACCAAAAAUGACUAUGCAUUUGUUGUUUAUAGCACAGAUAAUUGCUCUUCUGACAGCUGAGUAUCUUUGAAGUUUCUGACCAGUUUGUAAUGGUGCUGUUUUCUCUCUAGCUCUAGGCUAAGAGAAGGGCUGUAGUUUAUAUGAAAACCAAAAUUCGUUGUAUAUUAAGCACAUUAAAAGAUCUGAACUCCCAUUAAUAGCUGGGAAAACUAGGCCAGCAAUUGUCUGCAAUGCUCAUGGGAGCUAUGAAUUUGAAUUUUUAUUGAAAUGAUAAGGCCAUGUGUUUUAAACACUGGUAAAAUUCAGUGGUGAGGGCAAUUGAAAGACAUUCAUUUUAUAACCAUGUAUAAACACAUAAUAUUUAUUAAACAUCUUUAUGUACUUAAAAUUAUUCUAGAUCCUCACAAUUAUGCAAAAUUGAAGGAAGCACUUGAUCUUGUUUUUCUAAAGGAUUUCCAUUUAAAUAAGACAACAUAGAUGAGAUAAUACAAUUUAUAAAAUGCUAAUGGUUAAGGGGAGAGUGAUCAUCUUCACACAAAGACAUAUGUAUGUAAAGCAUAGAAAGAUACACUUAGCAAAAGAGUUUAAGAGAGAAGGCGUAGAAAAAAAGUUAUCAGGGGGCCAGAGCAAAAUCCUUAUCAAUUUGUAUAAUCUGUAAACAAAUCUCUUAUUCUAGUAAAAACUUCAGCUGCUCCCUAUGGUUUUUACAAUGGCCAUUCUAUGUACCUUCAUAUCAAGUUACUUAGUCCUCCUAGUAAGCAAUGAGGAAGGAGACGUUUUUCGUAUGGACACCACAUCCAAGCCACCCACUUGUUUUCACUGCACUCUUCCAGCACUGCCCCACAAACACCUGCCUCUGUGACUCUCGGCUUUCCUACCUUUCAGAUUAUCCCUAAAGCCUUAGCCACUCAGCCAUCAUGCAGGAAACCCUUCAGCUUUCCUCCCUUUAGUGGGAUCAUUUUGGAGACGCAUUCUGUGUGGUUCUUUGGACUGUCUCAAGGGUGUCUGAGCUUAGUGUUCACCAGAGAGACUAGUUCAGAGAUGCCACAUCCCUUGCCUUUCCCCCCUACAGUUUCACUAUCCUGUCUUCCUCACUCUCCUUUCUGCAGUCACUUCCCCGUUAAACCAUCUGCACACAAAGUCCAUGUCUCAGUCAUUGUUCAUGAAGAAUCUAAACUAAGACAGGAGCAAAUUGUCUCACACUCUAACAGAUAGAAAAAUGAGAUUAUAAAAAUUUAAGAAAAUGAUCAAAAUCAUCUACAGAAGUGAUUAGGACCCAGAACCAAAUAUAUCAAAAUCAAAGUUUUCAUUUUUAAUUAUUAUAAAUAUGUAUAGACUCGGCCAUGAAACUUUGGAUUCUAAAUUAUAAUUUGUAUGCAUAAAAGAAGGAAAGAAAUAUUUUCUUGGUAAGAAUUUAAGAGCUAGAACACUGAAUAUUCUGGUUCCCAUCAUGGUGCAGCAGAAACAAAUCUGACUAGGAACCAUGAGGUUGUGGGUUCGAUCCCUGGCCUUGCUCAGUUGGUUAAGGAUCCGGCGUUGCUGUGAGCUGUGGUGUAGGUCACAGACAGACACGCCUGGGAUCCUAUGUUGCUGUGGCCGUGGUGUUGGCUGGCAGCUAUAGCUCCAAUUAGAUCCCUAGCCUGGGAACCUCCAUAUGCCAUGAGUGUGGCC
RNAcentral lists this long non-coding RNA (5966 nucleotides) under Sus scrofa (pig). RNAcentral describes it as "lncRNA (ENSSSCG00000053825.1)". Lineage: Eukaryota; Metazoa; Chordata; Mammalia; Artiodactyla; Suidae. The record is from RNAcentral.